AUUGAACGCUGGCGGUAUGCUUUACACAUGCAAGUCGAACGGCAGCAUGGGUGCUUGCACCUGAUGGCGAGUGGCGAACGGGUGAGUAACAUAUCGGAACAUAUCCGGAAGUGGGGGAUAACUAGUCGAAAGAUUAGCUAAUACCGCAUAUGCCCUGAGGGGGAAAGGGGGGAUCGCAAGACCUCUCGCUUUCGGAGUGGCCGAUAUCAGAUUAGCUAGUUGGUGGGGUAAAGGCCCACCAAGGCGACGAUCUGUAGCUGGUCUGAGAGGACGACCAGCCACACUGGAACUGAGACACGGUCCAGACUCCUACGGGUGGCUG
This 322-nucleotide ribosomal RNA is filed under the name uncultured Pseudomonadota bacterium. Its description in RNAcentral is "bacterial SSU rRNA". It matches the Rfam family "Bacterial small subunit ribosomal RNA", at positions 30 to 351 of the family's 1533-position model. Lineage: Bacteria; Pseudomonadati; Pseudomonadota. The record is from RNAcentral.